Molecule: transfer RNA, 72 nt
Filed under: Phrynosoma platyrhinos (Desert horned lizard)
Lineage: Eukaryota; Metazoa; Chordata; Lepidosauria; Squamata; Phrynosomatidae
Description: tRNA-OTHER
Source: RNAcentral
GCCGGUGUAGUGUAAUGGUUUGAGCAUUGGACUGCAACUCUAGAGACCAGGGUUUGAAUCCCCUCUCAGCCA